RNAcentral lists this ribosomal RNA (265 nucleotides) under uncultured bacterium. Its description in RNAcentral is "partial 16S ribosomal RNA". It matches the Rfam family "Bacterial small subunit ribosomal RNA", at positions 88 to 354 of the family's 1533-position model. The record is from RNAcentral.
CCGGCGACCGGCGGACGGGUGCGUAACGCGUAUGUAACCUACCUUUGACAGGGGGAUAACAUCGAGAAAUUGGUACUAAUACCCCAUAACAUCACCGGAGGCAUCUUCGGUGGUUGAAAACUCAGGUGGUCAGAGAUGGACAUGCGUUGUAUUAGCUAGUUGGUGAGGUAACGGCUCACCAAGGCGACGAUACAUAGGGGGACUGAGAGGAAGGCCCCCCACACUGGAACUGAGACACGGUCCAGACUCCUACGGAAGGCAGCAG